AAUAUUUGAUUACGGCAAGAAAGAUCAAUGGAUGCUAAAGCUAUCAGGUGAAAGGUAGUUGAGAGACUAGAUAAUAUCAUUGUACAGACAGAGUAUUUAUUUGCCAAGAAAGAGGAUGUUCCUUUAGCAAGGGAGACAUUUAGCAGAUCUUACCGUAGCCAAGGACUCCAAGUGACUCCUAUGCUCAUUAAAUCUUGAGAAGUGCAGUCUUAAACCAUGAGAUAGAUAAGUGUGCAAAGGUUCCAACAUCCUCCAAGGGACUCUGGCUCCUUUCGGUGGAAAAUAAUGAGAUGAGUCAGAAUGUGGAGUCAAUGCUGCACUCAGGCGUGACCUUGACUUUUGACUGCAGGAACGAUAGCAGCGCAGCAGCAAUGUACCAUAGAGCAUGGUUCUCAAUCAUCUUUGGCUGGCUCCAGCAACCAUUCCAACUGUGUAAUUAAGUCAUUUCUAGGAGAGCUGAGCAGCUGGGUCAGUACUAUAUGUUCUAGUGAUCACUGGCUGUCAGGUUGAAGCUUAAAUUAAUAUUCUGAACAGUUAUUGAAUUUCAGCCACUCCAUCUUUACAGAAGCCAGCAACUAGAAAUGUGACAGGUACUCCGGAUUCUGCUUUCAUCAACACAUUCAAGGAGUGAUAAAAACCAGCACCAGCCUGAUACUGUCGAUAAUAUUUCUUAGAGCAGCUGUUGAUGUAAAAAAUAGAUAAUAAUAAAUUGGGUCGAAGGAACUGAAAAUGUUACGUUCCGUGCCUGCCCAGGCUGAGGACAGCUGCCACCCUACCAUACUAAGGUGUCUCCUUUGCCCUUAGGCCUCAUUUCCUUCCUAGAUAAAUAAAAAUAAAUUCCCUAUAAUGCAAAGGGACCACUUUCUAGAAGUGUAAAUUGAAAUAUGCUGGCUGUACAAACUUGUGAAAUUAGUUUUGUUGGUGGGAAAAACCUUAAUUAAAGGACUGGUUUGAAAUAAGGAAGAGUAAUAAUGCAUUUUUCAUUAUGUUCACCUUGGCACCAGCCACAUUCACUUUAAUGAUCUAAUUUCUAUUUUUCUUAUUUAAUGGAUGACAUUAGAUUAGCUUUCCCAACAGGUUUGUUUCCAAAAGGUUAAUGAAAUCGAGCUAAAUAUUUGGUUGGCCAAAAAAUUCAUUUGGGUUUUUCCCUAUGAUGGUAGGGAAAGCCCAAUAUAUACAGUAAAUCAUUAGUAUUUCUGUUUUGAACCACCAAUGUCUCACAGUUCUGGAUCCUGCUUUCUGCUUGGGGACAAGAUAAAAUUUAUCAGAAAUUAAAUGGCUUGUAUCCUCUAUACUAGGAAAUCAAUGAAAUAUCAGAACUAUAGAGGAAACAGCUCCUUUUGUAUCACCUUCAAAUGAAUAAACUCAACAUGAGAUUUUUUUGUGACUUUCCUUAAUGAAAAACUGAACCAAAGUAAUAGAUUUAAUGUAUGAGAAUCAAAACUUGGGAAUUUAAAAAUUUACAUUUAGUAACCUCUCAUCAAGGAGUGAGGGAUGGGGUUUAAGCAUUUAUUGGAGGUAGUAAUAAGGAGAGAAACAAUUUUUCAUGAAAUCUUUUUUUGUAAAGGUGAGGUUGUAUCCACUUUCUCUUAUAUCAGGCUUCUUAAAAAAAAAUCAAGGCUCAAGACCUUGGUUUGUUAGUCUGCCACUUCCAGUCAAGAUGAAAUAACAGAGACUAGAGUUACAAUUCCUGCCUAAAGAUAUAAAAAAUAAAUAAAACAAUGGUUUUCAAAAUACAAUCAUUAGGAAAAAAAGGGCUGUGACUCUUGAGAGACAAACAACCCAAUUUUUUAAAUGGGCAAAAGAUUUGAACAGACACUUCACUAAAGAAGAUAUAUGAAUGAAAAG
Molecule: long non-coding RNA, 1848 nt
Filed under: Bos grunniens (domestic yak)
Lineage: Eukaryota; Metazoa; Chordata; Mammalia; Artiodactyla; Bovidae
Description: lncRNA (ENSBGRG00000022741.1)
Source: RNAcentral